Ictalurus punctatus (channel catfish) is the source of this 451-nucleotide long non-coding RNA. The record is from Ensembl. NCBI's taxonomy places the organism in Eukaryota, Metazoa, Chordata, Actinopteri, Siluriformes, Ictaluridae.
CACACACACAAUAAUUUGCAUAUUAAUCAUACUAGCAAUAAAGUAAAUAGGCUAACAUUGUGUGGUUUGUGUGGCGUGUGGUAUGUGUAAGGUGUGGACUGUGUAGCAUUUGGACUGUGUAGCGUGUGGACUGUGUAGUGUGUGGACUGUGUAAUGUGUGGACUGUGUAAUGUGUGGACUGUGUAAUGUGUGGACUGUGUAGUGUGUGGACUGUGUAGCGUGUGGACUGUGUAAUGUGUGGACUGUGUAAUGUGUGGACUGUGUAGCGUGUGGACUGUGUAGCGUGUGGACUGUGUAAUGUGUGGACUGUGUAGCGUGUGGACUGUGUAGUGUGUGGAUUGUGUAAUGUGUGGACUGUGUAAUGUGUGGACUGUGUAGCGUGUGGACUGUGUAGCGUGUGGACUGUGUAGCGUGUGGACUGUGUAGUGUGUGUGUGUGUGCGAGAGUGAGA